GCCGGGCGUGGUGGCUCACGCCUGUAAUCCCAGUACUUUGGGAGGCCGAGGUGGGUGGACCACCUGAGGUCAGGAGUUCAAGACCAGCCUGACCAACAUGGAGAAACCCCAUCUCUA
This is an unclassified non-coding RNA of Macaca mulatta (Rhesus monkey), 117 nucleotides long. It matches the Rfam family "Metazoan signal recognition particle RNA". Rfam says of the family: The signal recognition particle (SRP) is a universally conserved ribonucleoprotein. It is involved in the co-translational targeting of proteins to membranes. The eukaryotic SRP consists of a 300-nucleotide 7S RNA and six proteins: SRPs 72, 68, 54, 19, 14, and 9. NCBI's taxonomy places the organism in Eukaryota, Metazoa, Chordata, Mammalia, Primates, Cercopithecidae. The record is from Ensembl.